This is a long non-coding RNA of Homo sapiens (human), 732 nucleotides long. RefSeq lists it as uncharacterized. The transcript is spliced from 3 exons. NCBI's taxonomy places the organism in Eukaryota, Metazoa, Chordata, Mammalia, Primates, Hominidae. The record is from RefSeq and is a predicted model, not a curated record.
UUUCCAAGAUAAAACUCCAAACACAUCAUGAAACUAUAUGACUAAGGGAGAAAAAAGACAUUUUCAGAUAAGCAAGAUCUCAAAUAAUUUGCCUCCCAUGCAACCUUUCUUGUGAAACUACUUGAGGAUGUGCUCCAUCAAAACAAGAUAGUAAACCAAGACAUAGGAAGAUAUGAAGUACAGGAAACAGAGUCAACACAGGAAGGAGAAUAAGGAAUUUCCCUCCAGGAUGGCAAAGGAGAUCCCAGGGUGAUAGCUGCACCAGGAGUUGAGAGUACCCAGUCUAGAUUGGAGCUGUGUGAUUCAAGAGACAGACAUGUUAAAGGAUGUUUGAGCAAUACCCCUGAAGCCAUGGAAUGGUUUUGUGAAUCUGAGGACAGAAUGGCCAGAAUGAGAGCUCCAUGCGGGCAGAAAUUUUUGUCUGCUUUGUUCAAUGCUGUGUCCCUAGUGCCUAGAACAGUAUCUGGCACAUGCUCUUAUUCUAUGGCUGACCUUUCUGCCAGCAAGUUUUCCUUGUGUUUAAAAGCACUACGAUUGAAGCAUAAAUGACAAAUGGAAAGAUGAAAUACAGAAGCCCCACACUUACAAGCCCUUCCAUAUGCCAGGCAUGUUCCUUAGGUUAUCAUAUUUAGCCCUCAUGGCCUCCCUCCCUUUGUCUGCAACAUCAAGAAAUUCAUACAAUGUUCUCACAUAUUUGUGGGACCUAAAAAUUAAAACAAUGGAACUUAUGGA